This 1204-nucleotide long non-coding RNA is filed under the name Panax ginseng (ginseng). RNAcentral describes it as "long non-coding RNA (PGIN_LNC016422)". The record is from RNAcentral. Lineage: Eukaryota; Viridiplantae; Streptophyta; Magnoliopsida; Apiales; Araliaceae.
UGUAUCUAUAGUUUGCUACAGAAAAUUGCCACCUUGGGAUGCAUGAAGUUCAAAAUUUUGAAUUGAAUUUCCCCGAAAAUGUUUAGAUGUGAAUCUAAUAAAAUAUGUCCAGCAAGAAAGUAGAAUAAAUCCAAAAAAAAUUUCACAGAAGCAUGCUCCUCAUCUAUUUCGAAAUUGAAUACAAACUUUUAUGUUUCAUGCCAUUUCAUCAUCUACUAGAGUCUCUCACCUGAGUUGGGGACCAAAGCAGUCACUGCUCACUAUACUUUCGCAUCUUAUCUGGGCAAUCGCAGGUCAAAGUCUGGUGCACAAAGCAGGAAAGCAGUGUUGUUAACAUUGAUAUGAAGGCAAACAUAUGCUGUGUCAAGUAUAAUCCUGGGUCUAGCAUUCAUGUUGCGGUAAUCUAUUACAUGAACUCCCAUUUUCUCAUUGCUUGUUGUUUACUAGUAGAACCAUUUACCGGAAGUUGUCGAAUUUUCUUUUUGUUGGUUGAGAGAGAGAGGAGGAAACGGUGCCGCUGGGUGUGAGGGAAAUGCUUUCUGAGCUUGUAUUGUCCAAAUUGUUUGGACUUUUUAACUCAAUUCUUGUGGGGCCCAUCUACUGCAUAAACACGGAAACAUCACAAAUAUGUCAUUUAUUACCAACAAGUUUGAGCAAGAGUUUUAUAUCGUGUACUGUUAGUUAUACAACGGCCCUUUCAAUCUUCGCUUCUUGGUUUGUUUAUUCCUGGGAAGUUAGAUUUGAUUUCACCAUUUUUAGUUUUACUUAUAGAGUUUACGCCUCUCUUUUCCAGUUAAUGAAAAUUCUUAUUUUCCCAAACCCUUCUCUUAAAGCUAUAGAUAUAAGAGACAACAUAGGAUGGAAUGAUGAUGAUGAAUCAGAACAAAUUUAAGCAAGUGUUGUGCAUUUUAGGAACAAAUGCUAAGUGCCCUUCGCAAACUCUCAAUCAGCGGACAUGCAAACUUCCACCUAUAUUGCUUACUCUAAUUACAUUGGUGUUUAUGAAAAAUCUUAGUGGAUGGAUUCUUACAUGGGCAUUUGGAUUACUGGCAUUCAUGGCGGUGCAGAUUUGGGAUUUGAAUAUCAGUUAAUUAAAACCUAGACUUCCCCAUAUAUGGAAGCAGGUUGUUUUUAUCUUCAUAAUCUGUUAUCUUAAGCCCUGGGCCCACUUUACAAAAGGAUGACAUAAAUGCAUUAUGUAGGG